Molecule: long non-coding RNA, 1290 nt
Organism: Tympanuchus pallidicinctus (lesser prairie-chicken)
Lineage: Eukaryota; Metazoa; Chordata; Aves; Galliformes; Phasianidae
Exons: 4
Source: RefSeq, a predicted model, not a curated record
GGGGGCCGGGUGGGCCGUGCUGUGUGGGGAGGGAUGUGAGCUGCGCUGGGCGGCUUCGCCGGAGUCAGGACGGCCGCUAUAGCGAAGCAGCCUGGCGUCUCGAAGGACCUCCUGCUCACCAGGAGCCCCAUGCUGGCGGAGGAGGCUGUCGGUCCUUCCACCUCAGCAGAACGUAUCUUCUGAAGAUAUUUGAACAUGGUAGCCAAGAAGGCUGAACAGUCUUUGAAGAAACAGCGGACCAUGCAGCUGAAGGGGUGAACUGAAUCCUUGCACAUCCUUCAGCUGAAUAAGCCCACCCUUCUGAAGAGUUUGGUUCAGGAAAUGUUUAAAGAAAACCUAAGAAAGGCUGAGUACACAGAGCUCCUGUUACCCUUCCUGAGCCUUGACUCCACAUUUCACCAGAUUUUCAGGCUUUGUACAUCAAACAGACUUCAGUGAAGUUAUUCGUGCCUCACACAAGUGGUAAGAGGAAAGAGAAGAAAGUUAUUCAUAUUUAAUGCUAUUUUGUGCCAGAUGUUUUGCUGGUAGAAAUCCAUAGCUCCACAGGCACCAAUUUCUUCAGGAUCUGGAAUGUCUGGCCCAAUUUCUUUCUCAUUCUGGAUGGUCUGUGAAAGAAACCACUUUAUUUUGCAAUAUUGAAUAUUCUUGCUGGGAAGUUAUAAGCAAAAACAAAAUAAUGAGAGACAGGGUCUCUAAUAAGCUUCCUGUCACAUGAGGCUCUGGUUCUAUUGAAGCAUAUGUGUUUGCUGACUUGCUUCCAAAAGGUUUGUUGAGUGGUGGUGAUUAGUUUCUGUUGUACUGAUGUUAUCUCUCUGUAGUCUCAUUCAAUACAAGUAGUUCUGUAAACAGUGAAGUCUUUUUUUCCUACGGAUUUGUACCUUGGAUUGUGUUUCAGCAUGGAUUCUCUGAUGUUUAAUGGGGAUGGAGUUCAUGUUUAGCCAAUUUCUUCAAUGAGGGAUGAAUAAUCUGUCUUUUUGGCCAUCUAUUUUCACAAAAUUUGCUGGAAUUAAAUAUCUUCAACGCCCUCUAUCAAAGUUGACUGGGAUUUAUGAACAAGUUUUGGAGUUAUUUGGGGCUGUCCAAUGUAGAUAAGAGUCUCAUUUUCUUACAAAAACAGAAUGUAAAAAUGCAUUCUUAAAGUAUUUUGUCCUUGUAUACUACCUGCUUGAUUCUAUUCUACUUGUGACCAGUCACAUAGGAUAUGUUUUAUUUGUAAAGCUGUAUGAAAGUAUGAUGUGUUUUUUUGCCCUGUUGAGUGCAUAUUAAAGCAUCCUUAGUUUAUUUUUGUUA